This is a long non-coding RNA of Dermochelys coriacea (leatherback sea turtle), 2205 nucleotides long. RefSeq lists it as uncharacterized. The transcript is spliced from 5 exons. The record is from RefSeq and is a predicted model, not a curated record. Lineage: Eukaryota; Metazoa; Chordata; Testudines; Dermochelyidae.
GAAGAGCUAUAGGGUUUCUGUAGAAGUCCCUGAAGCAGGGUCUGCAAUAUGUAGUUUCUGGGGAAUCAGGGCUCUAUCCUAGAGCAGAGAGACUUAGAUAUCCUAGAAGGGGCUGGGAGCUGAGCCUAAAGGUUUGGCCUGGUACGUUUCAUGAAACAGAACACAUCCACACACACAUUCUAUAUAAAUAUUUCCUGAGAGCAGGAGGGAGAGCAGACCAUGAAAAGUUGAGCCACUCGCACAAGAGAGUUUGAUCACAUGCAGGGGACCUUCAGAAGACAGAAUUAGGGAUGGUAUAACAGCUUAGCACAGGAUCACCACCAUCCUCAAUCUACUGGCUUUUGAUUUAGCAGCACAAAGAUGCUUUAUGAUAGCAUACUCUCACCAACAUCUGCUUCACUUUUUUUUUCACUGCCAUCUUUAACACCAUCCAACUAAACUCUCUCCUUCAAAGGAACUGUAAUAAGAAUAAACGCCAACAUGGGCCACAAUCUUACACUCUUCCUUUGGUAUACGUGAGUAACUUGCUGUCACUACUGGAAUCAGCUUGUGAAGCAGAUGUUAAUUCUCUACACAGUGGAAAGCCUCAGCCUUGGAAAGUGACAAAGUUAGUAAAAGUAGUCGUCCUAGCUCGCUGCUUUCUUAAGGUUUGCAGGUUCUCUCAUAGGCCCACUUUAUUGUGCAGUUGGAAAUAUAGCCUUGCAACCAUAGAGCCAAAUUGCACACAGUGCUGAAGAUGUAACUUUUAUCAUAACACUGAUGACCAUUUGGUGGUGCAUUAAUAUAUACAACAAUCAGAAAAUGGUAUUCAGAAAUCCACUUUAGCAGAUAAAAUCAGCACACCCUUCUAGCAAGGAUUAUACUACAGUUUUUAUAUUUUAACAGCUCCCAGAAAUGCUUUCCUGAGCUUUUAUGAGUGAACUUUCUCUGCACUGAUUUCCAAAUUCACAGCAUGCAUUAGCCUCAGCACAUAACACAGUAAGAUUACACAGCUGAGUUUUUCCCAUUUGUUGCCAGAGGAAAUUCUGUAUUAGUUUUAACAUGAACACAUUUCUUUCAUCUGGCAUAUUCUUGUUGUCAGUUUCAAAAAAAUGGAAUAUACCCAAGUGGUUUUAGAUCUCCUGCUUUACAUAGUGCUCCAUCGAGCUGGUCAUCCCUAGCAGUGCAGUAUGCUAUUUAAAUGUAUCCUGCCUUUUCCCCUCUUCUUUUAAAAACUAUCUGGUGCCCCGAAAAUGCAUUGUCAAUAGUAGGGAUUUUGUGCUUCGGAAAACAAUUCAGAGGCAAUGUGAAAGGAUAUGUCAUUCUGGCUUGUGCAUAGUGCUCCGUUCAGUGUAGAGCAGUCUCCCCUGCCUCCUAGCAGAAUGGAUGUAUGGCAGCUGCCAUUUUGUUUUUUCUGUUCAGAUGCAGAUGUUAGUGAGUCGCUUUGUUUCCUUUGGCUACAUGUGCAUAUGUAUAAUAUGGGUGUGAUGAUAUAUAAUCAGACUCUAUAUAUUUGUUCUUUCUUUCUAUCUCUUUUUUUUCUUUAGUCAGAUAUUAAAGUCACUGAUAGAAAAAUAUGUUUUGCUCCAUGCCUGGGCAAACCACAACUAAUCAUUCAACAGGCUCAGAAUGAAGCCAACUCACUAAAUUCUAAGUGGUGCUGGGAAACUUUGAGAAUGAGGUUCCGGCUCUGAAAUAACUGUAUAACUUUAUUAUGCCCACAGAGUGCAUUGUGCUUUGCAAGUGCAUUGUGUGCUAUGUGUUUGUAUUUAUGAGACCAGAUAAUUCCAAUCACUUAAAUGUCUAGAAACCUGUGCCAAUGUUUCCAAAAAAAAGAUAGGCAUAUUUGCACAUCUAAUGUUUGUAUAAAAUUAUGGUACACACACAAAUGACCACUAAAACAUGGAUUCUCUAAUAUGGAUGAACAUUUAUGAUUCUGCAUGCAAAACAGUCAUGUAAAUAUGCAUAUAUUUUUAUGAAAUUGAUCGCUUGAACACAGGGAAGGAAUACUAAAACAAUAUGCUCAUUGACUAAGGUACGGUAAAAGAAGUUUUAAUUUGAUGCUGUGAAUUUAUUUUGUUUGUAUGGGACCAGGUUGUGAAGUAUUAUACUCAACUCCAUGGCAUUUUGGUUUGUCAGUCUCUCUGUAAUGUUUGAAAACCUCAUCUGAACAAUUCCAAAAUUUCAGGGAAUGUUCUAUUUGUCAGAGGCUAGUGGGGGAAAUCA